This is a non-coding RNA of Caenorhabditis elegans, 21 nucleotides long. NCBI's taxonomy places the organism in Eukaryota, Metazoa, Nematoda, Chromadorea, Rhabditida, Rhabditidae. The record is from Ensembl.
UUAAACUGGUGUUUGAGAGAG